Molecule: long non-coding RNA, 202 nt
Filed under: Mytilus galloprovincialis (Mediterranean mussel)
Lineage: Eukaryota; Metazoa; Mollusca; Bivalvia; Mytilida; Mytilidae
Source: RNAcentral
CCGUCGUCCGUCGUCGUCCGUUGUCGUCGUUAACUUUUACAAAAAUCUUCUCCUCUGAAACUACUGGGCCAAAUUAAACCAAACUUGGCCACAAUCAUCAUUGGGGUAUCUAGUUUAAAAAAUGUGUCCGGUGACCCGGCCAACCAUCCAAGAUGGCCGCCAUGGCUAAAAAUAGAACAUAGGGGUAAAAUGCAGUUUUUGG